Molecule: small nuclear RNA, 149 nt
Organism: Pygocentrus nattereri (red-bellied piranha)
Lineage: Eukaryota; Metazoa; Chordata; Actinopteri; Characiformes; Serrasalmidae
Gene: U2
Rfam family: U2 spliceosomal RNA
About the family: U2 is a small nuclear RNA (snRNA) component of the spliceosome (involved in pre-mRNA splicing).
Source: Ensembl
AUCACUUCUCUUUCAAUUGUAGCAUCUGUUCUUUUUAAUCCAUACGAGGAUGUAUUAAAUUGUUUUUAGGACAGGGAGAUGAAAGAGGAGCUUGCUUUGUCCACGCAUCGACUUGGUAUUGCAGUACCUCCUGGAAUGGUGCACCUCCU